AGGCAUAAAAUUUGACCACUUUCUCCAGCCUCCUUUGGAGUUGCUUGAAACCACAUGACUGAGUUCUGGCGAAGGGAAUGUGAGCAGAAGUGAUGUAAGGCACUGCUAGCCGCUCACCCCUUGAGAGAUUCCUUGGCAGAUUCUCACGCAGGAGAGAACACCAAUGAAGACAAGUCUGCGUCAUGGCGACCUCCACAAAAACAGUGGCUCUCUGACUCAGGCUUGAAAUAUUUGCUGUCAAUGGUGCAUAGAAAAGACAUUCGUGGCCCACGGCUUAGGAAUCCUUAGGCCGCAACGCCCAGCAUCUGAACGAAACUCUGGUUCAAGAGUCUCACCCUUUGCCUCUCCCAUUGCCAAAGUUGCAAGGAUUUAGGAGCCAAUUGCUUGCCGACAGGAGAGGCAAAAUCUGAACCUUCAAAACCAGAGCUGAACUUAAGAGAAGGGCCUUUGUCUUUGCUGACAGUGGAAGAGAUUGAUCAUGAAAAGGUCCUUGUGUACCUUAGGUGUUUGGUUAACAAGACGUUAAAGCCUCUGGGACACACGACAAGGAGACUCACCCGCCUACAGACUUUCAUGCCACCGCAUAGCCAAUACUGAACGGAAGAAGGCAGGUCAAUGCAUAGAGUCCACGGAAGAUAAAGACUCCCAGUUCACGUCUCCACCGCAGUGAAGUCCCUUGUGCUAGAGCAUGCUGCAGGCGAGCCUUGCGGGAGAGAAGAUUGGAAUGCUUGUCCAGGGCACUGUCUGGGUGUUCUCAGCAUUACCUUCUGUCUGUUUGUUCUUUACUGUUUGUUUUUAUAUCCCCAGCCCUCCUCCUUCUUAACCUGGCUCAAAUUCAGUUCUGAACUGGAGCCUCAAAGGGCUAAAGGCAGCCUUCCUCUCUGAAACCCUCCUGAAGGCAUCCUAGGACUCUGCCAGGGAGAGACAGGAGGCACUGUGAUGGGGACAGUUACUGCCACCUUCCUCCCUCCUCAGUCCUCCUCCUGCCAAGCCCUGACAGCUCUGGAAGCCGAGAACUUUCCUUUGACUCUCGCACAGGUCUCCACGCUGUGUGCUGCUGCCAAGCCACGGGGCCGGCUCUUGGAAUGUGUU
Long non-coding RNA from Rhinolophus ferrumequinum (greater horseshoe bat), 1092 nucleotides. RefSeq lists it as uncharacterized. The record is from RefSeq and is a predicted model, not a curated record. The transcript is spliced from 3 exons. NCBI's taxonomy places the organism in Eukaryota, Metazoa, Chordata, Mammalia, Chiroptera, Rhinolophidae.